Molecule: ribosomal RNA, 287 nt
Filed under: uncultured bacterium
Lineage: Bacteria
Description: partial 16S ribosomal RNA
Rfam family: Bacterial small subunit ribosomal RNA
Source: RNAcentral
GUGGAUUAGAUACCCUGGUAGUCCACGCCGUAAACGUUGGGCGCUAGGUGUGGGGAACCUUCCACGUUCUCCGUGCCGCAGCUAACGCAUUAAGCGCCCCGCCUGGGGAGUACGGCCGCAAGGCUAAAACUCAAAGGAAUUGACGGGGGCCCGCACAAGCGGCGGAGCAUGCGGCUUAAUUCGACGCAACGCGAAGAACCUUACCAAGGCUUGACAUAUAGGGAAAUCUCAUAGAGAUAUGAGGUCCGCAAGGGCCCUAUACAGGUGGUGCAUGGUCGUCGCCAACU